UAAGUAAGUGGUGGAAAUUAAACCAAAUGGGAUAUCUUUAGUAAUUGCGAAUGAACAAGGAUAUGCUUAGCUUGACAAAUGGAGCUAUUGGCUUUGAAUUGUAUUUGUGGAAUGUAUUACCAACAGAGGUGCAGGUGCCAGCCUAUUAAAUAAAGCGUCAAUGAGGGUGAGAAUCCUGUUUGUCAUGUGCAGCCCUUUGUGCACGGUGUAUAUUUGCUGAGUCACACUCCUUGGCAUUGGAAUGCAAAGUGGGUGGUAAGUUUCAUGUACAGGUAAACAUGCAAUUGAGACUGAUAGCACACAAGUACCAUGAGGGAAAUAUGAAAAGGACUUUGAAAAGAGAAUUAAAUGAGUUUGUAUUUGCUGAACACAAAGUAAACAGACUUGAUUUGCUUGGUGGGAGUGUUGCACUUGCUUGACAAGAGCUUUGGGCUGUGGGUGUAAUGAUUCUUUCUUUGCAUGCCAGUUUCUAUGUGUGCAUCUGAUUACCUUUGCACAUGAAUGAUAAGUCUCCUGUGGGGGGUGGAUUGCAUGUGCAUGUAAUGAUUUGUGUUUUGAUAAAUGUGUCUGGUGUAUGUGUGUGUGUUCCUGUGCUUGGGGAUGCUUCCUUCCUUGGACUUACAAGCCCUGACACACACAUGCUGGCAAAAUGCUUCUGCUUGACCCG
RNAcentral lists this ribosomal RNA (667 nucleotides) under Alexandrium tamarense. Its description in RNAcentral is "eukaryotic LSU rRNA". It matches the Rfam family "Eukaryotic large subunit ribosomal RNA", at positions 43 to 651 of the family's 3401-position model. The record is from RNAcentral. Lineage: Eukaryota; Dinophyceae; Gonyaulacales; Pyrocystaceae.